UACGUAGGGGCAAGCGUUGUCCGGAAUGAUUGGGCGUAAAGGGCGCGUAGGCGGCUUUAUAAGUCUGGAGUGAAAGUCCUCUUUUCAAGGGAGGAAUUGCUUUGGAAACUAUAGAGCUUGAGUGCAGGAGAGGUUAUCGGAAUUCCCGGUGUAGCGGUGAAAUGCGUAGAUAUCGGGAGGAACAUCGGUGGCGAAGGCGGGUAACUGGACUGCAACUGACGCUGAGGCGCGAAAGUGUGGGGAGCAAACAGGAUUAGAUACCCGUGUAGUCCCUGA
Molecule: ribosomal RNA, 276 nt
Filed under: uncultured prokaryote
Description: partial 16S ribosomal RNA
Rfam family: Bacterial small subunit ribosomal RNA
Source: RNAcentral